This 45-nucleotide non-coding RNA is filed under the name Trypanosoma brucei brucei. The record is from RNAcentral. Lineage: Eukaryota; Euglenozoa; Kinetoplastea; Trypanosomatida; Trypanosomatidae.
ACUAAAUAAACGACGAUCUUAUACUGUAUCUGAUGAAUGUGAUAU